This 599-nucleotide unclassified non-coding RNA is filed under the name Hevea brasiliensis (rubber tree). Lineage: Eukaryota; Viridiplantae; Streptophyta; Magnoliopsida; Malpighiales; Euphorbiaceae. The record is from RNAcentral.
GGACAAUAAUAGCUUGGUUGAUCAUGGCACAUAAUUUUGUGUGGUGUCCUUAUAAAGGUCAAUCUCUUUUCAUAGGUUUUGACGGUGUCCUUUCUAACGGAUACAAAAAUUAAUUCUUUUGCACAACUCAUGCAUUGUUUUCUAUUUAUAUUAAAAUUGUUACCUUGUAUCAUAUGUUUGGACCAAAAUUUCCAUCCAUCUUAUGAAAAAACUUGAAGAUUUGUUUGGGUGCAAACAUAUCAGAGCUAUGUGGGAACACAUUGAUUGAUUGAAGAAAAUGCAAACUAUUAACAUCAUGUAGGUAGUUAGUGAAUGAGCUGUUGAUAACAUAAAUCACAAACUUUGUGAAAUUUUAAUUCUAUGAAUUUUAUUGAUUUUACUUGUGACUUGAUAAUUGGUAGAAAUUGUAACUAUGGGUAGGAAUCGUGCCAUGGGGCACGUGUGUAUACUAACUUAGUGCUAAAAUUGGGCAUGCAAAAAGGGCUAAACAAGCUGAAUGGGAUUCCUACCUGAAGGCCUCUAAAUGCAAGUCCACAACAUUUCAUUGUUAUAAAGGUACAACCUAGCCCUUGAAUUUACCCAAGGCUUCAAUGAGUCAU